Molecule: ribosomal RNA, 1452 nt
Filed under: Triticum aestivum (bread wheat)
Lineage: Eukaryota; Viridiplantae; Streptophyta; Magnoliopsida; Poales; Poaceae
Description: partial small subunit ribosomal RNA
Source: RNAcentral
AUGGCCCCCGCCUCGCUGGAGGAGCUCCAUUGCGCGCCCGCGCCGGAGAAGCCCCCGCCCUCGGCCCCGGAGGGCGAGCUCCGGUGGCUCCGGCGGUGCGCGGGGGAUGGCGACGACCUCCGCUGGCUCCGCCGCUGCGUGGGGGCCGCCACCAAGGGCUUCGCCAUCGGCGCCGGGCUCAAGGGCGGCCUCGCGCUCUUCUCCCUCCUCGUCCGCCUCCGCAGCCGCCGCUCCCCCAGAUCGAGGAAGGCGGGCGCGAUGACCAACGACGAGGCGGCGCUCCUGGCGCUCAAGGAGACGCUCAGGUACGGCAUGUUCCUCGGCACCUUCGCCGGCGCCUACGUCUCCGUCGACGAGUGCAUCGCCGCCCUCUGGGGCCGCAAAAGAACAGCAAGGUGGAGGUCAUUAUUAUCUGGGUUAAUUGCUGGUCCUUCUAUGCUCUUGACGGGGCCAGGCACGCAGCAUACCAGUUUGGCAAUAUACAUUCUCAUGCGUGCUGCGGUGCUUGCAUCCCGUUGUGGAAUAAAGAGCAAAAGAUUUGGAAAGAUUUGCAAACCUUUGACCUGGUCACAUGGUGAUGUCUUCCUUAUGUGCCUUUCAUCUGCACAAAUUUUAUCUGCAUACAUUCUACAGCAGGACAGUUUGCCGUCAUCAUAUAAAUCAUUUCUGAAGAUGCAUGGUGGAAAGGAUCAGUCUAUUCUGCAAGGCUUGAAGGAAGUAGUUAACCACACUGCUUUCUCUAACCUAGAGGCUAUUGAGAAGUACUACAAAUCUGUUGGUGUUGACAUAAAGUUGGAUCCAGACAUGAAAGUGCCCUGCUCAAUUGUGCAUGGUAAUCAAUCAUGUGCAGGACAUUUUAUUUCGUUCUUGUUACAAGCAUAUGGAAGAGCAGUUCCUGUCUAUAUUCCAGUCUACCUAGUCCCUGCACUUGUAGUUCAUCGGCAGGAUCUGAUGAAAAGGCCUUACACAAUAAUGGGCAAGAGUCUUCUAGGAACAGCAAGAUCUAGCCUGUUCCUCUCAAUGUAUUGCGCAUCUGCAUGGGCUUGGACAUGCUUCCUUUUUAGAACCUUCGAGAAGUGCAGUACUCCACUCGUUGUACUUGGCACGUUCCCGGCGGGUCUGGCACUGUUUAUCGAGAAGAAAAGCAGGAGAACCGAGAUAUCCCUGUACUGCCUUGCCAGAGCCAUCGAGAGUUUCUUCACAUGCAUGACCGACGCCGGACUCUGCCCUCCAAUAUUGCAGAUCAAGCGAGCUGAUGUAGUGGUUUUCAGCAUGGCCACCUCGAUCAUUAUGCACUGCUAUGCCCAGGAAAGGGAGGUUUUCCGGUCCAAGUACCUGAAUGUCCUCGACUGGGUAUUCGGUGUGCCGCUUCCGUCGGAGGACGAUGAAAGCAAACACCAUUCUAGUACAUCCAGUGAUGGAAUCAAGAAAGGAAUAUUCACCAUUGGAUGA